This 253-nucleotide ribosomal RNA is filed under the name uncultured bacterium. RNAcentral's name for it is "partial 16S ribosomal RNA". It matches the Rfam family "Bacterial small subunit ribosomal RNA", at positions 524 to 776 of the family's 1533-position model. The record is from RNAcentral.
UACGUAGGUGGCAAGCGUUGUCCGGAUUUACUGGGCGUAAAGAGCGCGCAGGCGGCUGGUCAAGUCCGAUGUGAAAUCUCCCGGCUUAACUGGGAAACUGCAUCGGAAACUGAUCGGCUUGAAGGUGGGAGAGGGUAGUGGAAUUCCCGGUGUAGUGGUGAAAUGCGUAGAUAUCGGGGGGAACACCAGUGGCGAAGGCGACUACCUGGCCCAUUCUUGACGCUGAGGCGCGAAAGCUAGGGGAGCGAACGGG